Molecule: ribosomal RNA, 253 nt
Filed under: uncultured bacterium
Lineage: Bacteria
Description: partial 16S ribosomal RNA
Rfam family: Bacterial small subunit ribosomal RNA
Source: RNAcentral
UACGUAGGGGGCAAGCGUUGUCCGGAUUUAUUGGGCGUAAAGCGCGUGUAGGCGGCCAGGUAGGUCCGCUGUGAAAACCCGAGGCUCAACCUCGGGACGUCGGCGGAAACCAUCUGGCUAGAGUCCGGAAGAGGAGAGUGGAAUUCCUGGUGUAGCGGUGAAAUGCGCAGAUAUCACUUGGAACGCCAAUGGUGAAAACAGAUAGCUGGGGUUGUGCUGACGCUGAGACACGAAAGCCAGGGGAGCAAACGGG